AGUGUCUCAGAAGACCUGAAGAGGACAGUAAUAAAAAUCAGAGCUACCAGCAUUUGUCCUAUGUGCCAUAUUAUUUGCUGAGUAGAUAGCUAAAUUUUUUCUCUGAAUGAACAGGUUUGCUUCCUCUGUCACCAAAAAGGAGGCAGCUUUUGCAGUUGGGAGUAACGUGGAGCAGCAG
Long non-coding RNA from Nothoprocta perdicaria, 178 nucleotides. RefSeq lists it as uncharacterized. NCBI's taxonomy places the organism in Eukaryota, Metazoa, Chordata, Aves, Tinamiformes, Tinamidae. The record is from RefSeq and is a predicted model, not a curated record. The transcript has 3 exons.